Molecule: long non-coding RNA, 312 nt
Organism: Ctenopharyngodon idella (grass carp)
Lineage: Eukaryota; Metazoa; Chordata; Actinopteri; Cypriniformes; Xenocyprididae
Exons: 3
Source: RefSeq, a predicted model, not a curated record
CCAUGUACAAAACCGAUCAAAUCAGGUGUAGAGAGUGAGAACACAUCUUACUGAUCGGAAAAAGUUAUAUAGUAGAGAGAUCGCAGUGGAACAGCAUCGGUUUCAUUAAUCAGGUUUCCUGCGUAUCUUGGUCGGGUCUUUUAGUAACGAGGGGAUUCUGUCCGUUGAUCGGUGAGGAGUGUGAAACCUUAGAUGGCGAGCCAACCAACUGGAUCUUCUGGAGUCUCUGCGAGCUUGAACUUCAAAUCCUGAGAAACAUUAUGUGGGACCUUUUGGAGAAGCUGAAUUACUACUGUGAAUGAUUGCUCAAUG